CUGUAGCAGGAUGGUUACUAGGAAAGGCUCCACUAAGUGUUAUCUCUGUAGCAGGAUGGUUACUAGGAAAGGCUCUGCUAAGUGUUAUCUCUGUAGCAGGAUGGUUACUAGGAAAGGCUCUGCUAAGUGUUAUCUCUGUAGCAGGAUGGUUACUAGGAAAGGCUCCACUAAGUGUUAUCUCUGUAGAAGGAUGGUUACUAGGAAAGGCUCUGCUAAGUGUUAUCUCUGUAGCAGGAUGGUACAAGGAAAGGCUCCGCUAAGUGUUAUCUCUGUAGCAGGAUGGUUACUAGGAAAGGCUCCACUAAGUGUUAUCUCUGUAGAAGGAUGGUUACUAGGAAAGGCUCCGCUAAGUGUUAUCUAUGUAGAAGGAUGGUUACAAGGAAAGGCUCUGCUAAGUGUUAUCUCUGUAGAAGGAUGGUUACUAGGAAAGGCUCCACUAAGUGUUAUCUCUGUAGCAGGAUGGUUACUAGGAAAGGCUCCGCUAAGUGUUAUCUCUGUAGCAGGAUGGUUACUAGGAAAGGCUCCGCUAAGUGUUAUCUCUGUAGAAGGAUGGUUACUAGGAAAGGCUCCACUAAGUGUUAUCUCUGUAGCAGGAUGGUUACUAGGAAAGGCUCCGCUAAGUGUUAUCUCU
RNAcentral lists this long non-coding RNA (631 nucleotides) under Salmo salar (Atlantic salmon). RNAcentral describes it as "lncRNA (ENSSSAG00000090182.1)". Lineage: Eukaryota; Metazoa; Chordata; Actinopteri; Salmoniformes; Salmonidae. The record is from RNAcentral.